GAUUUCUGGCUUGAAGCAGUUUGCCGGCCACGGUUUCGUGUGUCAGUGCUUGCUGUUCUGGCCAUCCUUCCAAUGGCUGCGCGUGCGUCCUUCAUUGGGCGCGCGUGCGGUGUUGGAUCUUUUACUUUGAAAAAAUUAGAGUGUUUCAAGCAGGCGUUUGCUAUGAAUACAUUAGCAUGGAAUAAUAAUCUAGGACUUCCGUCCUAUUUUGUUGGUUUCUAGAAUGGAAGUAAUGAUUGAUAGGGAUAGUUGGGGGUGCUAGUAUUCAGUGGCCAGAGGUGAAAUUCUCGGAUUCACUGAAGACUAACUUAUGCGAAAGCAUU
This 323-nucleotide ribosomal RNA is filed under the name uncultured Sandonidae. Its description in RNAcentral is "SSU rRNA". The stretch from base 114 to 323 matches the Rfam family "Eukaryotic small subunit ribosomal RNA", at positions 744 to 955 of the family's 1831-position model. Lineage: Eukaryota; Cercozoa; Glissomonadida; Viridiraptoridae. The record is from RNAcentral.